RNAcentral lists this ribosomal RNA (1303 nucleotides) under Bacillus sp. (in: firmicutes). RNAcentral describes it as "bacterial SSU rRNA". It matches the Rfam family "Bacterial small subunit ribosomal RNA", at positions 69 to 1339 of the family's 1533-position model. The record is from RNAcentral. Lineage: Bacteria; Bacillati; Bacillota; Bacilli; Caryophanales; Bacillaceae.
GGAUUAAGAGCUUGCUCUUAUGAAGUUAGCGGCGGACGGGUGAGUAACACGUGGGUAACCUGCCCAUAAGACUGGGAUAACUCCGGGAAACCGGGGCUAAUACCGGAUAACAUUUUGAACCGCAUGGUUCGAAAUUGAAAGGCGGCUUCGGCUGUCACUUAUGGAUGGACCCGCGUCGCAUUAGCUAGUUGGUGAGGUAACGGCUCACCAAGGCAACGAUGCGUAGCCGACCUGAGAGGGUGAUCGGCCACACUGGGACUGAGACACGGCCCAGACUCCUACGGGAGGCAGCAGUAGGGAAUCUUCCGCAAUGGACGAAAGUCUGACGGAGCAACGCCGCGUGAGUGAUGAAGGCUUUCGGGUCGUAAAACUCUGUUGUUAGGGAAGAACAAGUGCUAGUUGAAUAAGCUGGCACCUUGACGGUACCUAACCAGAAAGCCACGGCUAACUACGUGCCAGCAGCCGCGGUAAUACGUAGGUGGCAAGCGUUAUCCGGAAUUAUUGGGCGUAAAGCGCGCGCAGGUGGUUUCUUAAGUCUGAUGUGAAAGCCCACGGCUCAACCGUGGAGGGUCAUUGGAAACUGGGAGACUUGAGUGCAGAAGAGGAAAGUGGAAUUCAAUUCCCCUGUGUGGGGGGGGGAAAUGCGUAGAGAUAUGGAGGGGACCCCCCCCGUGGGCGAAGGCGACUUUUUUGUUUUGUUAAUGACAUGAGGGGGCGAAAAGCGUGGGGGGAGCAAACAGGAUUAGAUACCCUGGUAGUCCCCACCGUAAAGAAGGAGUGAUAAGAGUUAGAGGGUUUCCCCCCUUUUGUGCUGAAAUUAACGCAUUAAGCACUCCCCCCGGGGAGUACGGCCGCACGGGUGAAACUCAAAAAAAUUGACGGGGGCCCGCCCAAGCGGUGGAGCAUGUGGUUUAUUUUGAAGCAACGCGAAAAACCUUACCAGGUCUUGACAUCCUCUGACAACCCCAGAGAUAGGGGUUUUCUUUUUGGAGCAGAGUGACAGGUGGUGCAUGGUUGUCGUCAGCUCGUGUCGUGAGAUGUUGGGUUUAGUCCCGCAACGAGCGCAACCCCCGAUUUUAGUUUCCAUCACUAAGUUGGGCACUCUAAGGUGACUGCCGGUGACAAACCGGAGGAAGGUGGGGAGGACGUCAAAUCAUCAUGCCCCUUAUGACCUGGGGUACACACGUGCUACAAUGGACGGUACAAAGAGCUGCAAGACCCCGAGGUGGAGCUAAUCUCAUAAAACCGUUCUCAGUUCGGAUUGUAGGCUGCAACUCGCCUACAUGAAGCUGGAAUCGCUAGU